This 70-nucleotide transfer RNA is filed under the name Marmota monax (woodchuck). RNAcentral describes it as "tRNA.Ala". The stretch from base 5 to 65 matches the Rfam family "tRNA", at positions 6 to 65 of the family's 71-position model. From Rfam's summary of the family: Transfer RNA (tRNA) molecules are approximately 80 nucleotides in length. Their secondary structure includes four short double-helical elements and three loops (D, anti-codon, and T loops). Lineage: Eukaryota; Metazoa; Chordata; Mammalia; Rodentia; Sciuridae. The record is from RNAcentral.
GGGCUGGGGCUCAGUGGUAGAGCGCUUGCCUAGCAUGUGUGAGGCACUGGGUUCAAUCCCCAGCACCACA